Small nucleolar RNA from Hemibagrus wyckioides, 214 nucleotides. RefSeq annotates it as small nucleolar RNA U3. Lineage: Eukaryota; Metazoa; Chordata; Actinopteri; Siluriformes; Bagridae. The record is from RefSeq and is a predicted model, not a curated record. The transcript has a single exon.
AAGACUAUAUUUUCAGUGAUCUUUUCCAGAGUGACUGACUAGAAAAUGUGAUUUUUAAGUGAUACGUUUUUCUAAUCACGAUGAAGAGCUGUGAUGUAUUCUUCUGAGUGUGAAUCAGAUUCAAGUUAAUGAUUUUUGUCACAGCCUUGAGUUGUUGAUGAAUGUUGUCUGUUUCUUAUGAAGCAGGAGAGGAAGAGUACAUGAUCAGAGUGAU